This is a regulatory RNA element of Listeria monocytogenes EGD-e, 111 nucleotides long. It matches the Rfam family "TPP riboswitch aptamer (THI element)". From Rfam's summary of the family: Vitamin B(1) in its active form thiamin pyrophosphate (TPP) is an essential coenzyme that is synthesised by coupling of pyrimidine and thiazole moieties in bacteria. The record is from Rfam. Lineage: Bacteria; Bacillati; Bacillota; Bacilli; Caryophanales; Listeriaceae.
CGUUACCACAGGGGGGGCUUCUUAGCUGAGAUUGAGUCCACGUGUUUUUGGAUUCUGACCCUUUGAACCUGUUCGUUAAUACGAGCGUAGGGAUUGUGGCGAUUGCAUUUC